GACGAACGCUGGCGGCGUGCUUAACACAUGCAAGUCGAACGGAAAGGCCCUGCUUUUGUGGGGUGCUCGAGUGGCGAACGGGUGAGUAACACGUGAGUAACCUGCCCUUGACUUUGGGAUAACUUCAGGAAACUGGGGCUAAUACCGGAUAGGAGCUCCUGCUGCAUGGUGGGGGUUGGAAAGUUUCGGCGGUUGGGGAUGGACUCGCGGCUUACCAGCUUGUUGGUGGGGUAGUGGCUUACCAAGGCUUUGACGGGUAGCCGGCCUGAGAGGGUGACCGGCCACAUGAGGACUGAGGUACGGCCCAGACUCCUACGGGAGGCAGCAGUGGGGAAUAUUGCACAAUGGGCGGAAGCCUGAGGCAGCAACGCCGCGUGCGGGAUGACGGCCUUCGGGUUGUAAACCGCUGUCGCCUGUGACGAAGCGUGAGUGACGGUAAUGGGUAAAGAAGCACCGGCUAACUACGUG
RNAcentral lists this ribosomal RNA (468 nucleotides) under uncultured bacterium. RNAcentral describes it as "partial 16S ribosomal RNA". It matches the Rfam family "Bacterial small subunit ribosomal RNA", at positions 28 to 507 of the family's 1533-position model. The record is from RNAcentral.